GAUGAACGCUGGCGGCGUGCCUAAUACAUGCAAGUCGAGCGGUAACACUUCGGGUGACGAGCGGCGGACGGCUGAGUAACGCGUAGGAAUGUACCCCAGAGUGAGGGAUAAGCACCGGAAACGGUGUCUAAUACCGCAUAACCUCUUCGGAGAAAAGCUUCGGCGCUUUGGGAGCGGCCUGCGUAUGAUUAGCUUGUUGGUGAGGUAAAAGCUCACCAAGGCUAUGAUCAUUAGCUGGUCUGAGAGGAUGAUCAGCCAGACUGGGACUGAGACACGGCCCAGACUCCUACGGGAGGCAGCAGUAGGGAAUUUUCCACAAUGGACGAAAGUCUGAUGGAGCAACGCCGCGUGCAGGAUGAAGGCCUUCGGGUUGUAAACUGCUUUUAUCUGUGAAGAUUAUGACGGUAGCAGAUGAAUAAGGAUCGGCUAACUCCGUGCCAGCCGCCGCAGUAA
Molecule: ribosomal RNA, 453 nt
Filed under: uncultured bacterium
Lineage: Bacteria
Description: partial 16S ribosomal RNA
Rfam family: Bacterial small subunit ribosomal RNA
Source: RNAcentral